This 4724-nucleotide long non-coding RNA is filed under the name Homo sapiens (human). RNAcentral's name for it is "HSALNT0293880". The record is from RNAcentral. Lineage: Eukaryota; Metazoa; Chordata; Mammalia; Primates; Hominidae.
CGCCCGUUCGCGCUGCCAGCAGCUUCCGCCUGCUACGGUCCUGGCAAGCACCUCGGGAUCCCAUUCCUUCACAGGGACCCUAGCCAGUUAAAGCUGAUACAUUCCUGUGGGUCAACUAUGCAACUAACUCAGAUUUUGAGCAAACAAAGCUCUCAAGUUGGUGAUCCUCAGGAGUCUCUGCAUUAGUUGGACAGCUCUUCUGGAAUUAUCUUCUAAGUCAACUGUGGGUUGGGUAGGUGGCUCUGCUGAUUUUUCGCUGGACUUCCACAUUUGGGACGAGUUGGCUGUCAUCAGCUCUAGAAAGGGUGUGGCCGUUUUACAUUGGCUGUUUUCCUCACAUUCCUCAAGCAGAUGGAGUCUCGCUCUGUCACCCAGGCUGAAGUGCAGUGGUGUAAUCUCGGCUCACUGCAACCUCCGCCUCCCGGGUUCAGGCAGUUCUCCUGCCUCAGUCUCCUGAGUAGCUGGGAUUACAGGCGCGCACCACCACGCCCGGCUAAUUUUUGUAUUUUUAGUAGAGACGGGUUUCACCAUGUUGGUAAGGCUGAUCUCAAACUCGUGACCUUGUGAUCUGCUCACCUUGGCCUCCCAAAGUGCUGGGAUUACAGGUGUGAGCCACUGUGCCCGGCCUUGAUCAUUUUAAAUUCAUAAAUAAUACUUAGCCCCUGAGUAAUUAUAAUAAAUAUAUAAUUAAUGCAUAUAUCACCCAUAGUUAAUUAGGAAUAUUUUAUUGGCUUAAUGAGCAAAAUAUGAUCAUAAAAUAUAAGCCAUCAUAGCCCAGAUGUAUAGCAAUAAAAGAGCUUAGAUUAUAAUAUCUCACAAUACAAGUCUGCAUUAGCAAUGACACUGUUAUAAAAUAUUUAUAACACUUUCUGAUUUAAUUUUAAAGAGAUUCAUUCAGUAUCUUUUUGGCAUUUGAAAUGAAACCUUAUUUUCCCUCCACACAAUAGCUGAUUAAAAACAGCUUUUGAAGAGGUCCCAGGCAACACACACAGAGGGGAAAUGGUUAGAUACGUGGGGCAUCUUUGUAUUUUCACAUUAAAAUUCAAUGUUAUUCAGACCCAAGUAGAUAGAUAAUAAAAGUGGCAUUCAAGUUGGGAAUGGUAGCACAAGCCUGUAGUCUCAGCUACUCAGGAGGCUGAAAUGGGAAGAUCACUUGAGCACAGGAGUUUGAGGUUUUAGUGCACUGUGAUUGCACCUGUGAAUAGCCACUGCACUUCAGCCUAACAUAGCAAGACCCCAUCUCUUUUUUUAAAAUGUUACAUUUAUAAUCAGUGAGGAAAAUAUAAACUAUACAAUAAAUGAAAGGGUCAUUGGCCAAUUGUUUGGAGGGAAAAAAUACACCAUGUUCUAAAAUAAAUUUCUAGUGAUUUAUUGUGACUUUCAUGCAUUUGGAUGAUUUUAAAGAUUUUAUAUAAAAAUGAAACCAUAGCCUUACGAGAAGAAAAUAUAAAGAAAAACUUGUAUAGUCUUGGGAGGGGGGAUUAUAUUAUGUGAAACAUUAAGUAAAAUAUUUAUUUUUUAAAUAUUAAAAAACUAAAAACUGUGCUUUAGAAGUCACCAAAAAAUUAAAGGGCAGGCUGGGCAUGGUGGAUCACACCUGUAAUCCCAGCUUUGGGAGGCUGAAAUGGGAGAAUCACUUGAGGCGGGGAAGUUCGAGACCAGCCUGUGCAAUAUAACAAGACCCCCAUCUCUCCAAAAAAAAAAAAAAAAAAAAAAAAAAAAAAAAAAAAAAGCCAGGCAUAAUGGCGUGUGCCUAUAGUCCUAGCUACUCAGGAGGCUGAGAUGGGAUGAUUGCUUGAGCCCAGGAGUUUGAGGCCACAGUAAGCUAUGAUUGCACUAUUGCACUCUAGCCUGGGUAACAGUGUGAGAACGAGACCCUGUCUCAGAAAAAAGAAAAAAAGAAAAAGAAAAAGGGCAAGUGCCAAAUGGAAAGAGAAAAAAAAAGGACUAACAAUUAGGAAGUCUUACAUAUCAGUAAGGAAAAGAUAAAUAGCCAAACAGAAAAAUGGGCAAAGGACUUGUACUGGUAAAUCAGAAAAGAAGAAAUGAAAAGGGUCAGCAAAGAUUUUUUUUUCAUUUCCAUCAAUAAUAAAAGAUGCAAAUCAAAGCAACAUUAAAAUACCAUUUUGCCUAUCUAAUUGGUAAGGAUUAUUUUUAAAGAUAAUACUCAGUAUUAGAGAAGGUAAUUAAUAAUGUGUGCCACAAGAUGUUCAUUGCAGUGUCCUUCCUUCCUCCCUCCCUUCUUUCCUCCCUCCCUCUUUCCCUUCUUUGCUCUCUCUUUCUUUUUUCUUUAUCUUUUUUUGGUAUAUGUUUGAUAUUGGUGAAAAACUGAAAAAUGAAAAUGACCAACAAAAAGAGGACUGGUUAACUAAAGUAUGGUAAAUUCCUUCAACCAAACAUCAACACUAUUCAACCAAUAAAAAUGACACUAUAGUUAAUAUAUUUGAAAAGAUGUUCAUAAUAUAUGAAGUUUUUGUUUUGUUUUGUUUUCUUAGACGGAGUCUUGCUCUGUCGCCAGGCUGGAGUGCAGUGACACGAUCUCAGCUCACUGCAACCUCCACCUCCCAGGUUCAAGCGAUUCUCCUGCCUCAGCCUCCCAAGUAGCUGGAACUACAGGCACGCACCACAACACCCAGCUAAUUUUUGUAUUUUCAGUAGAGACAGGGUUUCACCAUGUUGGCCAGGAUGGUCUUGAUCUCUUGACCUCGUGAUCUGCCCGCCUCGGCCUCCCAAAGUUCUGGGAUUACAGACGUGAGCCACCAUGCCCGGCAUAUAUGAAGUUUUAAAAAAUCAGAAUACAGAACAAAAUUUAUUGGGAGAUGAGCUUCUUUCUUUCUCUCUUCAACACCAUCGCCACAUCACCUCCACAUAUACACACACUGAAAAGAUACUGAAAAGACAUAAUAACCAUGGGAAAUGGAGAUUACUGGAUUGUUAAAUGUUCUUUUUGCCUGUCUUUAUUCUCUAACUUUGCUAUAAUGAACAGAAAUUAUUUUUUGAUAAGCAAAAAAUAUUUUAAAUUUAAACAUGUAAAGUAACUUAGUAGUUGUCUUUUCAAAAUAUGUAAGAAUCAUUAGUUCACUAGUUGGUUAAAUAUGUUUUUAAUCCCAACAUCUUGAUAAUUGUCGCAAAAUUGAGGGAACAUUUUUUGAACUCUAAAAUGCUAUAGAAUUGACAGAUCAUUUUUCAGUUCAUAAGUUAUUACUUAUAAUCAGUUUUUUUAUUGUUACUAUGGCAAUAUUUUAUACACAAGAAUGGCUGAGGUUAGGAAUUUGUGCCCUGAAAAUUGUAUCAACAUAUCAAAUAUGAAGUAAAUAACAAUUUCUUGCUUUAAAUAUAACAAAGAUGUGGGAAGAAGUGGUAGGCAAGAGUCUCUGUGUUACCAUGGGAACGAUUAAGUUUUCCAAGGUGCAAACCAGCCUCAUUCCAGCUUCAGGGUCAAUGACUUACUAGCUCAGAGGGAAAUGUAUAAAUAUUUAAGUACAUACCUACUAUCUGUACAGAGUGACUCUCAUUACCCAGAGAACUGCUGUAAAAUAUUAUUUAUUCACAGAUUACACAAAACCAAUCUAAAUUAGUACUUUUAUACAUUCUAUUUGGGGAGUACUUAAGGUGUAUGAGCAAACAAAUUGUUAUCCAGGUCACUCCAGAACUGUUGUAUACAGAUUAAGAAUUGAUGUUGGAUACUAAUUAAAAUCAUUAAAGCAAAAUCAAAAAACACUUUGGCUAGCAUUUCAAUUAUUUUUUAAACAGGAUUUCUUAAAACAAUCCCCAAAGUAGUCUUGUAAUUUGUUCAUUUUAAGGAUCUAUGUUACUCUGAGGCCAAUCAAGGGGGCUAACAGUCUAGUUGGGGAGCCAAGAUAGCCAUUCAUCAAUUCAUUCAUUCAUUCAGUAAAAUGUAUUGAGAACCUACUAUGUACCAAGCAAUGUGCUGGGCACUAAGCAUUGAAGAAUACCUGAAACAUGGCACCUGACCUCAAAAAGCUUAAAAUUAGGAGACAUAGACAUGUAAGUAAAUAACUGCUAUAGGCAAAUCUCAGCAACUGCCACACCUGCUUGCUCCUUUAGCAGAACUUCUCUGAUUGGCCAUAUUCUGCACAUAGUGACCAACUCACCUCUUUUCCCUAUCUGCUUUCCUUGCUAUAGCUGAGAAAAAAGCUGUGGCCCAAAAGUUUCUCCCCUGAGAGGGACAGGAUCAGAUUGUCUUUUCAAGAGUUCCCAUGUGCAAUACAGAGCUGAAGUUGAAGCUGAAAGGAUUCAUAGAGAAAGGCCAGUAUAAAUCUUCAGCAUACCAAAGUUAUGAGAAAGGAGAAAGCUUGCAAUGCAUGUAUAGAGGAGGUGCUGAGGAGUUGGUGGUAGCAGCAGACAAGGGAGGAGAAAUGGAUAGAAUCAUGGUUAUUGUCAAGGUGGAGGAUCCGUGAACUGCAACUGAAGAGGGCUAGUGACAUGACCCAGUUCUUAGGGCUGUCUCUAUUCCUGAAUAUUUACUUAAUAUAAGGCAAUUCUUAUAUAGCAUUAGGGUAAAAAAAAAAAAAAAAGGAUUCGAAGUUUCCGAGAGACUUCUGUUUCAGCCAUAACAGAAUAGUGAAUUUACCUUCCCCCAGUAAAUAGCCAUAAAAUUAAAUAAAGUAAAUAAAACCAACUGUUUUCAGACAUUGGACAAUAGAAAGCACAGAACUCUAUGAUCCUUGAGAGAAGGGGAACAAAGAAGGUGUUAAUCACAA